UUUAAACAAUUUAUUAGUUGUGGAAAAGUUGAUGACUAAAUUCUCAUAAAAAUAUAAAUACAUGAAUAUAUAUAAAGUAGUAGAUUAUUAUAAUAAUUUAAGACUGUCUAAAGUGCCAAAUAAUUGAGAGAAGGGGAGAUAAACAAAAAAUCCCUAAGUAUUUAACAGUUUUCUACCGACCUGUUUCGUACAGGAAAUAUGAAUAUCCUGGCAAGCAUGUGAACUUCUAAAUUAUGUUUUGGUUAGAUGAGUUACUGUCUUUCUGCCUGUUUACAGUGAGGUGAGCAAUGUGUAUAAUUUGUGCAUAUUUUUUACUGCAUGAAAAUAUCAGAUAAGUAAAAGCAAUUUUUCAGUAUAUAGGAAAAUAAUUUCCCAAAGCUAGAACAACAAUCGUGCAAAAUAAAUAUUUUUUAAAAAAAUGUACUGUUACAUAUACAUACGUAGGUGUGCCAACAUCUGUCUGUCUUCAGCAUAAUCUGAAGAAAUCAAAAGAACUUCAUUGUUCACCAUCUUUAUGAAUAUUUAAUAACCCCAAAGAGUCCAUUUUUAUAGGAACCUAGUAAAACAGUGAACUGCAAAUACAGUAAAUGCUUACAGAAUAUAGGAGGGAAGCUUUAGGUGGGCUUUAAGGAAACUGAUCCAAAUGUGAAGAAUGUAAUUACUGCAUGCUCAUUAUGCUUUGAAUGAAUAUUCAUCUGACCAAAACAAAAAAAAAAUCACAACAACAAAUCCAUAGUUUUUCUUUUUGUUCUUAACAAAUAAACAUUUUAGGAGUUCAGGUUCCAGAUCCUUACCUUAUUAUUUAAAACUGGAUGAGAUGACGGUGAUAAAAAUGGAACCAAGAAGCACCGUACUGUUCUUCAGUUCUGCAGUUUUGAGAAAAAACUGGAUCCUGGGAAUUUUACUGACGUUCUGAAGUACAGUAAGUUAGGAGCUGAUCUUACAGGCCUUGCAAGUCCAAGUAGUCCUUUCUCACAUGAAUAGACUCAUUUAAAUAAAUUAGACUAGUCAUGUCAGCGUUUGCAGGAUCAAGUUCUUAAUUUUGUAAAACUAGAAGCUUUAAUAUCUUCUUAAAAAUCAAAUGAUUAUGCACUUUAUUGUAACAGUUUGGUAUCCAAUUUUCUGUUCCAUUCCCAAUACUACCUUAAAAGAGAAGUUGAGUACUUAAUCACGUUACUUUUAAAGGUAGAAUGUGCCAAAGCUUAGGUUGCAGCUCGUAUGUAUUUAUGUUCCUAUAAUGCUUUUUAUUUUAAGAGAAAUAGUAGAAGUUAAUUUGUGGUGGUGAGAGGAUCGAUUCAGUACUUUCAAUACAAGUGCACUGGAAAAUAUCAAAAUUUAAUCUUCACCCAGUUUUUUAUUUUUUAUUUUUUUAUAUAUAUAUAAAAUUAAAAUUAUUUUGUUCACUUUUAUAUGGGUACCUUGCUACCCAGUAAAGAGUGCUUAGUAGUGAUUGUUGCACGAUACUUUGCAUGCAGAUUAGUUUCACUUGAGAUGUCGGUGCAAAGGAAAAAAAAUUCACUAUGAUACAUCUAUUAAUACAGUGAGCUGUUAAUUUAAUAGAUAGUAAUUCUCUUUACAUAUCCUCAGCUCAAUCUCGGCAGUCUGUGAGUUGAAUUGGUUAGGAAAUUUAAUAGUGAAAAACAGGUGACGGUUGUCGAUAAAACAUAGGGUAUGUUUCUGCCUAUUAACUACAUUUGUGAAUAUUAAUACUUUACAGUUUAAAUUCCAUUGUUCAAAUUAAAACUGAGAUGAAAAUGACUGACUUACGAGCACAGUCAGCUAUGAACUAUUUAAGUGGGUGGGACUCACCACUUUAGUUUUGUUUCAUCACCAUAUUCAAAAUGAGUAGUGUCUUAUUUGUUGGAUAUCUAUUUUCAGAUUGCAAUGAGGAUGAUUAGUUUUAAAUAUUUUUUAGAAAGUAAAUGACUUGUCUGAUUUCUCCCCCCCCGCCGCCCCCCCCGAAAUGACAAAAUUUUAGUGUUUCUGCUGUGUCAAAUGUCUCCUAACUAGCCAAUUUGAUAGCUGAUCUUUUUUAUUCUGAGUAUAUAGGAAACAAUGUUUUCUUGGUUUUGGUUUUGCCUAGCACUGAAAUGGAGACUAAGCAAGUUAGCAAAGUGGGGUGGGUGUCCGUCCAUCCAUCCAUCUGUCUGUCUCACCCUUGGUCCUAAUACUUAUACCUUUCAGUCCUUUUCUUUUUUAUAAGGUACCCCUGUUUUCUUUCAUCAGUUUUGAUUUUUAAGAGGUGCCUUCUUGCUUUGAAAGAGAGUUUUCAUACACCCCAUUGUACCUUGGCAAGCAGUCACCGUAUAGGUAUUAUCCUAGGGACAACAUUACAGUGGACAUCUGCAUAUCCAAAAUGCCCAGUUAUCCAGAAAUAUUAAUUGUGCCUAUAUACAUCACUGCCAUAAAUCUGGUGUAUCUGACCUGCAGAAAUUUCUGCCUCAGUAUUUUCUGGAGUUUAAAUUAUACCAAUUGUAGUCUCCUGCUUGCUGGUAGAAAAUGCAACAGCAAGUGACCUAACUGCUAAGCCUCAGUUUCAGUCGGUAAAAUAAAUGUAAUGGAAUGUUGUGAGUCUUAAUUAAUAUUUUGUCACGUGCUCAAAAGAUGUUAGAUACGUGAACAAGCUUCUCCCUAUUUGACUAAUUUCUGACUGGCCUGUCUUGCUCUCACGGCUGAGGACUGUAUGAAACUAGAGAGACAAUAAAUGCUCUUCUGGGUUGCUUGAAGGGUGUUGCGAGAGAGCGCUGUGUUGUUCACUCUAUUUCUCCCCCCCCUCCCUCCCACAGUAAGAUGAGAUUGCUGCCAGAUGAAGGCAUGAGGUACCUAGCCUCAAUUUCUGAUCCCCUUCAUUGCAGACGAGAUGGACUGUAUUUUAAUGUUCUUGUUUAAUGGUUGUAUAUCUUUAAAAUCAACAUAAAUAAGGGUUUUUCUUUUCAUCUGGUCUGUCCAACAGAUCUGCUUCUGUUGCUAUUGUGUAUGAAGCAAAUGUAUGAAGUGGUGACACUUCCUUUUUCAUCAUAUUUUUGUGUGGUAUUUUUAUGCAUUAGGUCAUAGAGCCCAACUCACCCUCAUAACUGCAAUUUCUUCCAAUACGAAUUCUACAUAGAGAACUCAUUGCAAACAACCUUCCUAAUAUUACUGUUCCUAAUGCCAUUACGCGUAUUAGUAUGGAUUGUGUAUAAUUCCUAAUAAGCAAAAUCCAGGCAACCAGUCUUCAGUGAUCCUGGUAUUAUAUAAAUGAUAGUACAAUGAUGAGGGAAGGGAUAGAUUUGCUGCAGCACUGUUUAAAUACUUAUCUUUGUAUUACAGUGGAUUUUGGAAUGAAAGCGGGAGUCCCCUCGCUUCCCCCCCCUCCUCCCCCCGCUGAUAGGAUGAGCACACAUUAAAGCCUUUAAUAGUCUUUGUUUUUAGGCCUAACUGGCAAAAAAAUUGAUUGCUGUUUGAUUAGUCAGUGCACUAUAAUGUAUAUCACCUGUCUAAGGUACAAUCUGUUGGAACACUUUAUAAACUCUACUUUGUUGUUUUCUAGUUCAUAUUGAAAAAGAAGUUAAAUUGUGUCCAAAGAGAGUUUUAUUUGCAGAACAAACUGAUGCAUCAUUGCGUUCAGUCCAGGCAGGGAAUGUUCUGAAAAAUUUCAAGACAGCUGUGAUCAUUUCUCAUCGCUGACUUCAUCCAAAUUUGAAAGGUAAAAUCUGAGCUGCAUGGACCCUAAAAACAAACAGAAAAAGAGAAAUAUUUGCUUCAAAUUAUGUCCUGAAACUGAGGACUCUGGAUCAUCUAAAUCGAAAUAAUUCUGGGAAAUGGCAAACACUUGAGCACUAUAGCUGUUUCUUACACAGUUAUCCCCGCGUGUUAGAUCUCCCUAGCACCAAGCCCAGUAUAUGCAGUGCGCACACACAAAAAGCUGUAGACUAUUUAAAUUUCCCAGAAAAGUAGUAUGGGGGAUGGGGGGGGGCAGGAGACCUAGCUGGUCUGAAAAUGUAGUUAACUGCAACAAGUCUACUGUGUAUGUUGGGCAAAUGAAGUGGGUUGUUUUUAUUUUUUUUUAAAUGAUUGCAGUCAUGAUACUCUUGUAUAACUACUUGCUCUCUUUUUUAGUUGCAGACUUUCUGGUAGAACAGGAUUGAAGAACAUUUAACUUUGUGUAAUAAGUGAAUGUUAAAAAUGUCUUCAUUGGAUUGUAUUGUGAUCUUCAGUACCUUAUAUCAUGUUAAAAAAAAAAUAGUCAAAAUACCAUUUGGAAUUUCACCAUUGUUGGGCUUUGAGGAGAUGUAGCAGCACAUCAUGGUUUGUAGGGACAAGGAGAUACAGACCAUUCUGGGCUGCCUCAUUACCUCAAGGAUAGACAAGAAAGGGAGCUUCUGGGUGUCAGCCGUGGAAGCUACCACAUUCUCAUAUAUCUCUUAGAUCAGUUGAACAGGUAUGUUUAGAUAUGUUUUUGUAGUGCUUUUAACAUGAACGCUUUCUUUCCAGCCUGCAAAGAUAGUCUUGGUUUUACGUCUUUGGUGAAUUUGCCUAAAAUGGCCCAGGGAUUUGCAGUAUUCUAACCUGUUGACCCGAUCACAGGCCAUGUGAUUGUUCAAUAUUUCAUCACCUUCCAAUAUCUGCAAUAGCUUCAUCUUAAUACACUCAGUCAUCUUUCAUGUUGUGUCUUCAUAGUUGGCUUAUCCCAGUUGCAUGUUGCUUGAAGUAAUCCUGCUUCCUGUUUUGUCCAACAUUCUUUCCUCUGUUUAAGACAAAUAACAAAUUAUAGGUAGUAGGACAACCAGCAGGGAUUGUAAAAAAGGGGUUCUGGAAGUCACGGAGACCUCUUUACAAUGGAAGCAUGUCAGCAGUGCUCUAGCAGCACGUAAAUACUGGAGUUUAGGAUUGCCUAGCUGCUCUCCAGUAUUGCAUUGCUGCUUUAGUGCGGCUGGAUGGUCGUGCCCACGGCAGGAACCAGUGCUGUUGCUACCAGCCUGUGGUGCCUAGGGCAACAAAACAACAACAUCGCACUGUUAAAGUCGGGGAGAUGCUGUAUGAUCAGGUUUUUAAGAGGGGUAUUAAGAGGUUUCCUGGCCUGUAGAUCUGAUUUAAGAACAUAUUAAUAUAAAGGUGUGAAAAACUGUU
This is a long non-coding RNA of Trachemys scripta elegans, 5109 nucleotides long. RefSeq lists it as uncharacterized. The record is from RefSeq and is a predicted model, not a curated record. Lineage: Eukaryota; Metazoa; Chordata; Testudines; Emydidae. The transcript has 2 exons.